UAAUUACAGAGAAGCAGAAAAGCAAUGUGCA
Molecule: non-coding RNA, 31 nt
Filed under: Mus musculus (house mouse)
Lineage: Eukaryota; Metazoa; Chordata; Mammalia; Rodentia; Muridae
Source: RNAcentral